This 6566-nucleotide long non-coding RNA is filed under the name Ananas comosus (pineapple). RNAcentral describes it as "long non-coding RNA (ACOM_LNC011656)". The record is from RNAcentral. Lineage: Eukaryota; Viridiplantae; Streptophyta; Magnoliopsida; Poales; Bromeliaceae.
AUAUUGUGGCCCAAUUAAUCAUAUUCAAAUUAGAAUUUACUAUAGAUAAAGGUCAAUCCUAACAUAUAUAGAACUACUUGGUAUAAUAUAUUUUAUCCAUAUCCUAUCUAUUGUAAAUUUAAAUAGAAUCCUAAUCAGACUUUGAUGGGAAGUCGAUUUGAACUCUAUAUAAAGGGGUAUUGGUCCUGUCACCUUCUCAUACGCAUUCUGGUGAAGAAUUACCAUCGGUUCCACACCAUACGGCAGAGUGCCUGAAAAAGGAGAAGAAACCAAAUCACCCAAGUUCGGUUCGUGAUUUUCAGAUCAUAGCCGGACUUCACGCUUCCGCAGAUUGAUCAGAAAUUUCUUCUCUAUGGCGCUCUGUGAGUUAUUUUAUCUUAUUUGAUCCUGGAUUUUGGUAUGUAUUUAAUUUGUUUCAUAUUUUACAUACCUUGAAAUUCUAUCAAUGGUAUCAGAGCCAUGAUUGCUAAAUUAAAUAUUGUAUGUGUUAUGUAAUUGGAUCAAAUUAUGAUUAAUUUUGAGUUUUCAUAAUAUAAGGUUUUACGGUUCUUGAUCCAAAUUAAGUUUGAAUAGUCCUCUUGAUCACAUGAGCCAUGCUCGGCUGCGGCGGUGCCAUGAUUGUUAACCCUUUGGAAAUUGGGUUAAUAUUAAGGUGCGGCAUAUGUUGACCACGCGGCUUCGAACAUGUGUAGUGGUCAAGAUUUAUUAAUUAGUUGGCUUCUUUUAAACUGAUAUUAGCCAAUUAAAGAUUGGCUCUAAUUUUAUAUGCUUUAUUUUAAUGUUGCAUUAAACUUAGAGUCCGGUUCUUGUUUCUGAAAUUGAGAUGGGGUGAUUUUUUUUUGGAGAUGGUCGAGUCCGACCAACUAAAAAUUUUCUUUGGUUCCACAUCGGACCUCAAGCAUUAUUAAUUAAUUGCAAGGCUCCUUUUGCAAAUUAAUUUAUUAAGGAGUCCGUUGGAAUGUGUUUAUACAAUCUCUUUUAUUCAAUGGAAUUUGUAUAUAUCAAAAUUUGAUCCUGUUUGUUAAAUUAUAGUGAACAUAGAGAAUCCGUUCACAUAUAAGGAUUUAAUUUUACAUACAAUAUUUAGUUUAUCAUAAAUUUGUGGUCAAAUUAGGAUAUAUAAAGUUUAAAUUUGAUUGCGAUGUCAUGUUUUAAAUUAUCGCAUCUAUAUUCUUAUUUGGACCAGAUAAACAUGAAAAUUAAAUAAUCAUAAUUGUUUUUUGAUUAUUUAAUAUUUGUUGCUAAGUUAAAUUAAUUUACUAUUUCGAUUAGUUAGGUGCAAGCCAAAGCGGCCCUAAUUAAAAGAAAUAAUAAUUUAAUUUACUUUAAAGUAGCGCUUCCGGAUAAUUUUCAUGUUAAUCAUGCAGCAUUAAGUCAGAUUAAUUUAUUGCUUCAACUGUUCGGGUGCAAGCCAAAGCGGUCUUGACCGGAAGAAAAGAUAAACUAAUUACUUUAAAGAUGUGCAUGCAGAAAUUGCACCAUAAUAUUAUGUUUAGUCUGCUCCCAAAAGAGGUCUAGACAUGAAGGUAUAUGGGUGGUGCAGGAUGGUAAUUUUUUUAUAACUCAUUUGGAGAAAUUUGUCUGGCCAAAGCUGACGAUUUUUUCAUAUGAAAAAUUUGAAAUUACUAAGACCUGCAAAAAGUUUCAUUAGUUUCUGAUAAAGAGAUUGCAUAUUUAUCUCAUAACUCUACUCUCAAAGAAGGGAUUGUGAUUUCAUAUAAAGUAUAUGCAUAAAGAAUGAUUGCAUAUUUAUACUCAUAACUCUGCUCCCAAAGGAGGGGUUGUGAUGUCAUAUAAAGCAUAUACAUAAAGAACGAAAAAUACUUAUGCUCAUAACCCUGCUCCCAAAGGAGUGGGUUGUGAUGUCAUAUAAAGUGUAUUUUUCUAAUUUUGGUAUGGUAAUUUAUGAUGUGGUAUUUUAUUGAUAAAGCAUGCAUUUUAUUUUUUAGCUAUGACUCCAUUUUCUGUUCCUAUUGGUGAAUCUAUUUUUAUAUUUAAUGGUUCUAAUUAUUCGGAGUGGAAAGAACAAGUCAUGCUUACAUUAGGGCGUAUGAAUUUAGAUUUGGCUCCGCACCUUGAGCAACCGCCUAAGAUAGUGGGGUUAUUGACUCCACGGCAGGAAUCCGCGCAGAAAAAGUGAGAACGAUUCAACCGCUUAAGUUUGAUGCUCAUAAAGUCAAGGGUAUCAAAAAGUAUAAGGGGAUCAAUCUCAGAAUAUGAUAAAGCCAAAGACUAUCUAAAGGCCAUUAAGGAGCAAUUUGUCAGCUCCGAUAAAGCCUUGGCAAGCACCUUAAUGAAUAAACUGUCUUCCAUGAAGUACUCCGGAAAUGGCUCGAUUCGCGAGCAUAUUAUGGAAAUGCGAGAUAUUGCAGCGCAACUCACCGCACUUGAAGUAACCAUCUCUUAUUCAUUCUUAGUGCACUUUAUUUUGAACUCUUUGCCAUUUGAAUACAAACCAUUUCAGAUCUCUUAUAACACACAUAAAGAUAAAUGGUCAAUUAAUGAAUUGCUGACCAUGUGUGUGCAAGAGGAAGACAGAUUAAUACAAGAGAAACAAAAUGCAGUCAACUUUGUUUCUCAAAAGAGACAAAUAAAGCGUGCUAAGAAUGGUAAGGGCAAGAAUGACUCAAAAAGAAAGAACAAGGAAGUUCCAUCUGAUUCACAAGGCCAAUCAAGUAAUUGGACUCGUAAGUACUUCUUUUGUAUGAAAAAGGGUCAUAUAAAGAAGGACUGCCAAAAGUAUCAGAAAUGGCUCCAGAAGAAAGGUAAAUUUCUGGUUUUGAUGCAUGAGUUGCAUUUAGUUUCUGUUCCAUCUAAUACUUGGUGGAUUGACUCUGGUGUCACAUGCCACGUGGCGAAUUUCGUGCAGGGAUUUCAGAAUCGCAGAAAACCCAGUAAAGAUGAAGCGACUAUCUAUACAGCUGAAGGAAAUCCAACUAAAAUAGAAUUUGUAGGAACAUUUAGAUUAAUUCUUUCUACUGGUCACUUUUUGGAUUUAGCCGAUACAUUUUAUGUUCCAAAUUUUUCUAAGAAUUUACUUUCUAUUUCGAAACUUGUUGAAUUGGAAUAUAGUUUUAGUUUUAAUAAUAAAGUUUUUUCUUUAUCCUAUAAAUCUCAGAUAGUUGGCUCUAGUGUUUUGGAAAAUAAUCUAUAUAAAGUAUUUUUAGAUGAUUCAUUUAGUAAAAUCCUUCUUACCAUGCACGAAAAUGUUGGAUCAAAACGUGGCAUUAAUAAUGAAAAGUCAUCCAUGUUAUGGCAUAAGAGGUUAGGACACAUCUCAAAAUAGAGAAUCCAAAGAUUAAUUAGAGAAGGCAUCUUAAAUGAUUUGGACUUCUCUGACUUUGGAAUGUGUGUGGACUGCAUAAAGGGAAAGCAGACCAAAACCUCUUCUAAAAGUGCUAAAAGAUGUAAUAAAACAUUAGAGUUGAUUCAUACCGAUAUAUGCGGACCUCUUCCUCUAUCAAUUACUGGCCAUAGAUAUUUUAUCACAUUUACUGAUGACUACUCUCGAUAUGGCUAUCUCUACUUGCUUAAAGAAAAAUCUGAAGCAUUAGAUGCCUUUAAGGCAUAUAAGGCUGAAGUAGAGAAUCAACUCUAGAAAAGGAUAAAAGUAGUCAGAUCAGAUAGGAGUGGUGAAUAUUUUGGUAGACAAACAGAUAAAGGCCAAAUUCCUGGGCCUUUUACUAAGUUUCUGGAGCAGAGCGGAAUUGUUCCAUAGUACACCAUGCCAGGGACAUCUGAUCAGAAUGGUGUUGCUGAAAGAAGGAACCGCACAUUAAUUGAUAUGCUCAGGAGUAUGAUCAGUAAUUCUAUCCUUCCGAUAUCAUUGUGGAGUGAGGCACUCAAAAUAGCCCUGUAUAUUCUUAAUCGGGUCACUACUAAGGCUGUCACUAAGACUCCUUUUGAGUUUUGGACAGGUAGGAAACCCAGUUUAAGACAUUCUCAUACAUGGGGUUGUCAAGUUUAAGGCCAAAUUAUAUGAUCCACAAAUAAAGAAAUUGGACCCUCGAACCAUAUCAGGAUAUUUUAUUAGUUAUUCAGAAAGGUUCAAAGGGUAUAAAUUUUACUCUCCAUCACUUCCUAUAAAGAUUUCAGAAGCUAAAACAGCACGGUUUAUUGAGGAUGGUGCAAUUAGUGGGAGCUCUGAACCUCAGUUCAUUGAAUUUAAAAAAAAAAAAUUCAAGAGCAUUCGGAUUCUGUACUUGACAGACCCACUAUUGUCCCUCAUGAUUUGAUGAUUCCUAUUCCAGUAGAACAACAAAUUGUUUUGGAACCACAAAAUCAUUGUGAACCUAUCAUUGAUAAUUCACACCAAGAUGUACAAGUGAAAAAUUCACAUCAAGAUGUACAAGUUGAUAAUUCACAUUAAGAUGUACAAAUGAAUACUCACAUCAAGAUGUACAUGUGGAUAAGCAGAUAGAUUUAAGAAAAUUCUCAAGACAGAGAAAAACUGGCUAUAUCUAGUGAUUAUAUCUUCUAUCUUUAUCUGAAUGGCCAGAGUUUAGAUGAUCCUCUUAGUUUUUUCGAAGCCAUAAAUAAUAAUAAUUCUACAGAAUGGUACAAUGCCAUGAAGGAUGAGUUGAAUCCAUGAACCACAAUAAGGUAUGGGAUCUUGUUGAGUUACCUAUAGGAGUUUAACCCGUAGGAUGCAAGCGGGUUUAUAAAAUCAAAUGGAACUCCAAAAGUAACAUAGAGAGAUAUAAGGCCCGUCUUGUGGCAAAAGGAUUUACUCAAAAAAGAAGACAUUGACUAUAAAGAGACUUUCUCUUUAGUAUCUAGAAAGGAAUCUUUUCGUAUUAUUAUGCUCUGGUUGCUCAUUUUGAUCUCGAGCUACACCAGAUGGAUGUCAAAACUAUUUUUAAAAUGGAGAUCUCUAUGAAGAGGUAUAUAUGAAUCAAUUUGAAGGAUUCUCGUAAAAGGGAAAGGAGCACUUGGUAUGCAAAUUAAAGAAAUCAAUAUAUGGACUAAAGCAGGCCUUCCGACAAUGGUAUUUAAAAUUUAAACAAACUAUUUUAACUUUCGGUUUUAAGAAAAAUAUUGUUGAUCCAUAUAUUUAUUUAAACGUUAGUGGGAGUAAAAUAAUUGUCUUAGUCCUUUAUAUUGAUGAUAUUUUGUUUGCCAGUAAUAAUUUUGGGCUAUUGCAUAUAAGCCCAGUGUUGCUUCUGUCCAGAAAGGGGACAAACUUAAUGCUUUUUAAUACCCCAAGAACUAAUUAGAAAUUGAACAGAUGAGAAAAACAUAUGCUAUGCCUUUAUAUUUGGUAGUCUUGUGUAUGGACAAACGUGCACACGUCCGGAUAUUGCUUUUGUUGAUGGAUUACUUUGCAAGUAUCAAAGUAAUCUAGGUAUGGAAUAUUGGAAGGCUGCUAUUAAGGUUAUGAGGUAUUUAAAAGGAACUUUGGAUCAUAUUGCAUGUUACGAGACCACAUUACAGGCUAUCUGGCUUAGGAAUUUUAUCACAGACUUAAGAAUUGUGGACUCCUGUAUUUAUCCAAUAAAGAUUUUCUGUGAUAGUUCAACUGCUGUUUUCUUUGCUAAUAACAACAAGAUUACAGUAGGGUGUAAACACUUGGACACCAAAUAUCUUGUUAUGAGAGAAAAGAUGGAGAAAGGUUAUGUUGCAAUUGAGUAUAUCAGUUUCAAGUGUAUGAUUGCAAACCCAAUGACCAAGGGGCCGGCACCUGGGUCAUAUAUAGAUUGUGUUAAAGGUAUGGGUUUGAUUAGUUCUUUUGAUGUAUAAAUAGUAACAUCUAUCUUUUCAAUAAAAUUAAAGUUUAAUGCAGCUAUGUUGGACCAUUUAAUAGACAUAAAGUUUCGUCUAUUAACGAAUGAACAUACAGUUUAAGUUCAUUCAUAAAGUUUUGCCAUAUAAAGUACUCGACUAGGAGAUGAAGAUGAUACGGUAAUUAUGGAAGGAAAAUUUCGUUAUAAAGAGGUGGACUGCCAUAGUUCCUAUCAUUAUAGUCUUUUAGUUUGAGCUAAAGAUCAAGUGAGUUCUAAGGUAUUUGACCAUAAAGUUUCCAAUAAUGCGAAAUAAAGUUUGGAGUAUAGAAAAUUCGUUAAUGGAAUAUAAUUAAUAUAAACCAAGUGGGAAAUUAUUAGGAUUUCCAUAUAUUGUGGCCCAAUUAAUCAUAUUCAAAUUAGGAUUUACUAUAGAUAAAGGUCAAUCCUAACAUAUAUAGAACUACUUGAUAUGGUAUAUUUUAUUCAUAUCCCAUCUAUUUUAAAUUUAAAUAGAAUCCUAAUCAGACUUUGAUGAGAAGUCGAUCUGGACUCUAUAUAAAGGGGUAUUGGUCUUGCCACUUCUCAUACGCAUUCUAGUGAAGAAUUACCAUCGGUUCCACACCAUACGACAGAGUGCCUGAGAAAGGAGGAGAAACCAAAUCACCAAGUUCGGUUCAUGAUUUUCAGAUCAUAGCCGGACUUCACGCUUCCGCAGAUUGAUCAGAAAUUUCUUCUCUAUGGCGCUCUAUGAGUUAUUUUAUCUUAUUUGAUCAUGAAUUUUGGUAUGUAUUUAAUUUAUUUCGUAUUUUACAUAUCUUGAAAUUCUAUCACUUUUUAGUAUUU